Molecule: unclassified non-coding RNA, 284 nt
Filed under: Hevea brasiliensis (rubber tree)
Lineage: Eukaryota; Viridiplantae; Streptophyta; Magnoliopsida; Malpighiales; Euphorbiaceae
Source: RNAcentral
UCCCCAUCGAAAUCACAGUACCAACCAGAAACAUGCCAAGAAAAGCUGCACCAGCCAAGCGUGAAGGAAGAGCAAGCGCAGGCAAAAUCAUCAGCAGCGCAUCCGGCUGCAAGCCAUGCACGAUCCCAGUCGCAAAUGUCGCUAACCCAAUUUUCUUCUUACCACUCGAGGCGGUUACUAUCGAUUCAUCAUAACUGACAUCACACUCGCCAUUUUCAAGAGCAAUGCAAGGGACCGACACCUCCGAUGCCUCCCGAAUCCCCUGAGCACCGAUGACGAGCAGG